AGAGUUUGAUCAUGGCUCAGGACGAACGCUGGCGGCGUGCCUAAUACAUGCAAGUCGAGCGAAUCAUUAGGAGCUUGCUCCUGAUGGUUAGCGGCGGACGGGUGAGUAACACGUGGGCAACCUGCCUAUAAGACUGGGAUAACUUCGGGAAACCGGAGCUAAUACCGGAUAAUCCUUUUCCUCACAUGAGGGAAAGCUGAAAGACGGUUUCGGCUGUCACUUAUAGAUGGGCCCGCGGCGCAUUAGCUAGUUGGUGAGGUAACGGCUCACCAAGGCGACGAUGCGUAGCCGACCUGAGAGGGUGAUCGGCCACACUGGGACUGAGACACGGCCCAGACUCCUACGGGAGGCAGCAGUAGGGAAUCUUCCGCAAUGGACGAAAGUCUGACGGAGCAACGCCGCGUGAACGAUGAAGGCCUUCGGGUCGUAAAGUUCUGUUGUUAGGGAAGAACAAGUAUCGAAGUAACUGCCGGUACCUUGACGGUACCUAACCAGAAAGCCACGGCUAACUACGUGCCAGCAGCCGCGGUAAUACGUAGGUGGCAAGCGUUGUCCGGAAUUAUUGGGCGUAAAGCGCGCGCAGGCGGUUCCUUAAGUCUGAUGUGAAAGCCCCCGGCUCAACCGGGGAGGGUCAUUGGAAACUGGGGAACUUGAGUACUGAAGAGGAAAGCGGAAUUCCACGUGUAGCGGUGAAAUGCGUAGAGAUGUGGAGGAACACCAGUGGCGAAGGCGGCUUUCUGGUCAGUAACUGACGC
RNAcentral lists this ribosomal RNA (755 nucleotides) under uncultured bacterium. Its description in RNAcentral is "bacterial SSU rRNA". It matches the Rfam family "Bacterial small subunit ribosomal RNA", at positions 8 to 746 of the family's 1533-position model. The record is from RNAcentral.